GAGCUAUAGCGCCCUGCCUGUUCUGGGCUUCUUGCAGAGCCUCUUCAGCUGCAGAGAAGCAGCUCUCCUUUCUCCAAGUCCAGAGCCAACAGGACGAAUAAUGAAGCUGUUGGGAAGAUUUACUGAUAAUACAUGUAAAGGGUCUAGCACAUUUUAGGAGCUCAAGGUUGGUGCCUUCCCUUUUUCUUUACUCUGAACCGGAUAUGAGGCCUUGAGAAAGAAGAGAGGCGCUUGCAAAACGAGGUGAGGUCUCAGGCACAGUGGCUCACGCCUGUAAUCCCAGCACUUUAGGAGACCGAGGCGGGCGGAUCAUGAGGUCAGGAGUUCGAGACCAGCCUGGCCAACAUGGUGAAAGCCCGUCUCUACUAAAAAUACAAAAAUUAGACGGGCAUGGUGGUGGGCACCUGUAAUCCCGGCUACUUGGGAGGUUGAGGGAGGAGAAUCGCUUGAACCCAGGAGGUGGAGGUUGCAGUGAGCCGAGACUGCACCAUUGCACUCCAGCCUGGGCAAUAGAGCGAGACUCCGUCUCAAGCAAGCAAGCAAGCAAACAAACAAAAUAAAAAACGAGGUCAAGUUUCAAAAGAUGUCACCCCCAACCUGGCAAAACUUCUCCUCAAGCCCUGUCGUUCCACUCUUGUCCGCCAGGAGGAGAAAAGGUUCCCUCGAAGGACGUCUUUGCUUGCGCGUUCACGGAGCCUUGAGAACGAGUGGCCGAGGGGACCCCUGCGGCCCUGCGCGCCUGAGCUAGGACAAACUGAUACUCAGCGGAAGGAGUCCUGAGAAUAAAGAAGUGCAGAAAAUGGCUGGUGUCAGUCCACAGAUGACCAGACUCGUUCACUGGGACAUGUAAGACAUCCUUUAGGGGUUUGCACAAAUAGCUGGUGAGUACUUUGUCUGGAUUUGUGGGUCUACACUGAUGAGUGGGGCCAAGAGCCAGAGACACAGAAGCUAUGUUUUUGUUUGUUUGUUUGUUUGUUUUUUGAGAUGGAGUUUCACUCUUGUUGCCCAGGCUGGAGUGCAA
This 1021-nucleotide long non-coding RNA is filed under the name Homo sapiens (human). RNAcentral's name for it is "HSALNT0388169". The record is from RNAcentral. Lineage: Eukaryota; Metazoa; Chordata; Mammalia; Primates; Hominidae.